This 362-nucleotide long non-coding RNA is filed under the name Heterocephalus glaber (naked mole-rat). RNAcentral's name for it is "lncRNA (ENSHGLG00100049444.1)". Lineage: Eukaryota; Metazoa; Chordata; Mammalia; Rodentia; Bathyergidae. The record is from RNAcentral.
UGUUUGCCCAGCGGGUGAGCAGUAAGCUUUGUGCUUAUUCCUGGCUCCUGGAGAUCUGCCUCCAGGGAAACGCCUUCAGGGUCACAGUGAAAUCUCUGUGGCAGCUAAUAAAGAAACCCGUCUGCCUCUGGAACCCUGACCUGGGGAGGUGCAGGCUGGACUCCUCCUCCUCUCUGUCGCCAGACGAAGCAGAAAGGUGGGCAGAGUGCGGAGACCAAGGCUGGGAACCAGGAAGACUCAGCCCGAUUCAGCCCGGGCUCACGGCAGCUGCCACACUGGGGAUCCAGCCCUGGCUCUGCCGUGGGACCUCAGAAGACUCCCCCAACUCUCAAAGACUCAGUUUCCCCAACUGUAACACUGGG